This 107-nucleotide small nuclear RNA is filed under the name Mandrillus leucophaeus (drill). Lineage: Eukaryota; Metazoa; Chordata; Mammalia; Primates; Cercopithecidae. The record is from RNAcentral.
GUGCUCACUUCGGCAGCACAUAUACUAAAAUUGGAAUGAUACAGAGAAGAUUAGCAUGGCCCCUGCGCAAGCAUGACACACAAAUUCGUGAAGCGUUCUAUAUUUUU